RNAcentral lists this ribosomal RNA (433 nucleotides) under uncultured bacterium. RNAcentral describes it as "partial 16S ribosomal RNA". It matches the Rfam family "Bacterial small subunit ribosomal RNA", at positions 29 to 507 of the family's 1533-position model. The record is from RNAcentral.
AACGAACGCUGGCGGCAUGCCUAACACAUGCAAGUCGAACGAGACCUUCGGGUCUAGUGGCGCACGUGUGCGUAACGCGUGGGAACCUGCCCUUAGGUUCGGAAUAACUCCCCGAAAGGGGUGCUAAUACCGGAUAAUGUCUUCGGACCAAAGAUUUAUCGCGUUUGGUUGGGCCGGUGUUGGAUUAGCUAGUUGGUAGGGUAAACGCCUACCAAGGCGACGAUCCAUAGCUGGUCUUAAAGGAUGAUCAGCCACACUGGGACUGCGACACGUCACAGACUCCUACGGGAGGCAGCAGUGGGGAAUAUUGGACCAUGGGCGAAAGCCUGAGCCAGCAAUGCCGCGUGAGCGAUGCAGGCCUUAGGGUUGUAAAGCUCUUUUACCCGGGAUGAUAAUGACAGUACCGGGAGAAUAAGCUCCGGCUAACUCCGUG